CAAAAUUGAUACAUGAAACAGUCUGAUGGAACCUUGGUACUGUUGUUUACCUUGUUAUAGUAGAACUAGUGCUUUUGUUUUUCGUUUCCCCAAGUUGUAGUUGAUCUCUAGUACAUAUUUCUUUUAUCUCUCUGAUAUGAAUCUGUAGUUCAGAUUCAUUUUGUUAUUUUGGCAUAUACAAAAUAAAAGAGGACUGAUAUUCUGAAGGUUUCACAUGUUAUGCAAGGCUUUAAUAUUUUAAUCGCCAAACUAUAUUAAGCAAAAUGCAUUGCUAACUACAAUAACUUGAUUAGAAGGUUGCCUUUCAUUCAUUUGCACAAUAUGUUAUGUUGUUUAGGCUGACCAUGUUCAUCCCCACAGGUUCUUUGAUGUGUUGUCGUGCUGUUGCAUGCUUUCUACCAUGAUGUGAAGAAAGAUCAUGUCACCAAUGUUCGGAGCAUACAGUCAUAUAGCCCUAUCAAGUUUGCCCUUUGUGAUGUACUAUGUGUUCACAGAUUUUACCAUUAUCAGAUGUAAUGUGUGUUCAAAAAAUUACUUUCAUUUUUUAUGUUAGAUGUCAGGUUUACCAUUGUUAGCAUAUGGUGUACAAUCUGGAUGGCUGCAGCCAGAACCAAAGUUGUAUUCUUAGAAUUUUCAUUAGUACUGUAGACUAAAUAACUAGCAAUCAUAUUUGCCUGUAGCCUGUAGCUGUAUUCUAAGUAUUCCACUUAUGCCCACUUAAUCCAUGAAACAUU
Molecule: long non-coding RNA, 734 nt
Filed under: Triticum aestivum (bread wheat)
Lineage: Eukaryota; Viridiplantae; Streptophyta; Magnoliopsida; Poales; Poaceae
Description: long non-coding RNA (TAES_LNC000719)
Source: RNAcentral